GAUGAACGCUAGCUACAGGCUUAACACAUGCAAGUCGAGGGGAAACGAUAGAGAAAGCUUGCUUUUUCUAGGCGUCGACCGGCGCACGGGUGAGUAACGCGUAUCCAACCUGCCCACCACUUGGGGAUAACCUUGCGAAAGUAAGACUAAUACCCAAUGACGUCUCUAGAAGACAUCUGAAAGAGAUUAAAGAUUUAUCGGUGAUGGAUGGGGAUGCGUCUGAUUAGCUUGUUGGCGGGGUAACGGCCCACCAAGGCGACGAUCAGUAGGGGUUCUGAGAGGAAGGUCCCCCCACAUUGGAACUGAGACACGGUCCAAACUCCUACGGGAGGCAGCAGUGAGGAAUAUUGGUCAAUGGACGAGAGUCUGAACCAGCCAAGUAGCGUGAAGGAUGACUGCCCUAUGGGUUGUAAAACUUCUUUUAUACGGGAAUAAAGUGAGGCAUGUGUGCCUUUUGUAUGUACCGUAUGAAUAAGAUCGGCUAACUCCGUGCCAGCAGCCGC
This 503-nucleotide ribosomal RNA is filed under the name uncultured bacterium. Its description in RNAcentral is "bacterial SSU rRNA". It matches the Rfam family "Bacterial small subunit ribosomal RNA", at positions 28 to 518 of the family's 1533-position model. The record is from RNAcentral.